UUAUUUUUUAAUCUCAACCAAUAUAUUAGAUAAUAGAGAAUAAAAAAAGAUGAGAAAUAAUGAUGCCACAAAUCUUAAAUAUUUAAUGUUUAUGGAGUUUGAAGAAGCCAAAAGGCACUAAACAAAAGAUUGAAUAAUUAAAUAUGGGAUUAUGAUAUUAAAAUUAGGCUCUAAUGACAUUAUUGAGGGAAGAUGAAAGAACCUUCCUUCCUAUAUUAAUUAAUUGAUGUAUUUUAAACCACUAAAAUUUAAUUGUUGGCAUAAUAAAAUAAAUGAAUCUUUCAAGACUUAUAAUUAAUUAUUAUUAAUGGUUACAUAUUGUUCAAUUUAAAUAGAAAGAG
This 341-nucleotide long non-coding RNA is filed under the name Citrus sinensis (sweet orange). RNAcentral describes it as "long non-coding RNA (CSIN_LNC004652)". Lineage: Eukaryota; Viridiplantae; Streptophyta; Magnoliopsida; Sapindales; Rutaceae. The record is from RNAcentral.